UACGUAGGGUGCGAGCGUUAAUCGGAAUUACUGGGCGUAAAGCGUGCGCAGGCGGCUUUGCAAGACAGAUGUGAAAUCCCCGGGCUCAACCUGGGAACUGCAUUUGUGACUGCAAGGCUAGAGUACGGCAGAGGGGGAUGGAAUUCCGCGUGUAGCAGUGAAAUGCGUAGAUAUGCGGAGGAACACCGAUGGCGAAGGCAAUCCCCUGGGCCUGUACUGAAGCUCAUGCACGAAAGCGUGGGGAGCAAACAGG
Molecule: ribosomal RNA, 253 nt
Filed under: uncultured bacterium
Lineage: Bacteria
Description: partial 16S ribosomal RNA
Rfam family: Bacterial small subunit ribosomal RNA
Source: RNAcentral